This 288-nucleotide ribosomal RNA is filed under the name uncultured bacterium. RNAcentral's name for it is "partial 16S ribosomal RNA". It matches the Rfam family "Bacterial small subunit ribosomal RNA", at positions 773 to 1060 of the family's 1533-position model. The record is from RNAcentral.
GUGGAUUAGAUACCCUGGUAGUCCAUGCCGUAAACGUUGGGCGCUAGGUGUGGGACUCAUUCCACGAGUUCCGUGCCGCAGCUAACGCAUUAAGCGCCCCGCCUGGGGAGUACGGCCGCAAGGCUAAAACUCAAAGGAAUUGACGGGGGCCCGCACAAGCGGCGGAGCAUGCGGAUUAAUUCGAUGCAACGCGAAGAACCUUACCAAGGCUUGACAUAUACCGGAAACUUCCAGAGAUGGUUGCCCCCUUUGGGUCGGUAUACAGGUGGUGCAUGGUUGUCGACAGCU